Molecule: non-coding RNA, 132 nt
Filed under: Actinopolyspora erythraea
Lineage: Bacteria; Bacillati; Actinomycetota; Actinomycetes; Actinopolysporales; Actinopolysporaceae
Description: FMN sequence
Rfam family: FMN riboswitch aptamer (RFN element)
About the family: The RFN element is a highly conserved domain that is found frequently in the 5'-untranslated regions of prokaryotic mRNAs that encode for flavin mononucleotide (FMN) biosynthesis and transport proteins. This element is a metabolite-dependent riboswitch that directly binds FMN in the absence of proteins.
Source: RNAcentral
GUGCGCUCCGGGGCUCGGUGAAAGUCCGAACCGGCGGUCACAGUCCGCGAACCGCGUCCCACCCCUGGUGGGCCGGCCGAUCCGGUGAGACUCCGGAACCGACGGUGAAAGUCCGGAUGGGAGGAAGCGCAC